This 284-nucleotide unclassified non-coding RNA is filed under the name Hevea brasiliensis (rubber tree). Lineage: Eukaryota; Viridiplantae; Streptophyta; Magnoliopsida; Malpighiales; Euphorbiaceae. The record is from RNAcentral.
CGAAUGUGUUUAUUUAAUUCAUCCGUCUUCUCUUCCCGCUUGGAGCCGCGAUGCUCACCGCUGCCAUUGAGGGAAAGGAGAAGGGUCCGAGUUUGCCUGACGAUCUCAGCGGGAGAUUUGGGUUUGGACUUGAAGAGGGAUUUCAUUUGUGAGUGUUGGAUGUAGGGUUGUGAAAGUGUGGGAUUGAACUCGAGGGAGAGAAGAGAAGAGGUGUUUGNNNNNNAAAUUGCCAUGUAUACGUAAUUAUCUGAAUAAAGCAAAGUCUAACGCCUCAACUAUCUUUU